RNAcentral lists this ribosomal RNA (360 nucleotides) under Pseudomonas aeruginosa. Its description in RNAcentral is "bacterial SSU rRNA". It matches the Rfam family "Bacterial small subunit ribosomal RNA", at positions 123 to 478 of the family's 1533-position model. Lineage: Bacteria; Pseudomonadati; Pseudomonadota; Gammaproteobacteria; Pseudomonadales; Pseudomonadaceae. The record is from RNAcentral.
AAACUGCCUGAUGGAGGGGGAUAACUACUGGAAACGGUAGCUAAUACCGCAUAAUGUCGCAAGACCAAAGUGGGGGACCUUCGGGCCUCAUGCCAUCAGAUGUGCCCAGAUGGGAUUAGCUAGUAGGUGGGGUAACGGCUCACCUAGGCGACGAUCCCUAGCUGGUCUGAGAGGAUGACCAGCCACACUGGAACUGAGACACGGUCCAGACUCCUACGGGAGGCAGCAGUGGGGAAUAUUGCACAAUGGGCGCAAGCCUGAUGCAGCCAUGCCGCGUGUGUGAAGAAGGCCUUCGGGUUGUAAAGCACUUUCAGCGGGGAGGAAGGCGAUAAGGUUAAUAACCUUGUCGAUUGACGUUAC